This is a non-coding RNA of Equus caballus (horse), 631 nucleotides long. The record is from RefSeq and is a predicted model, not a curated record. NCBI's taxonomy places the organism in Eukaryota, Metazoa, Chordata, Mammalia, Perissodactyla, Equidae.
AGAACAGGAAACUCUGCCUUUUGAUUCCCCUCUGUCUCACAAAGGAAGUGUCGACCUAAAGGGGUGGUGAGUCUUCAUUGGGAGCCAAACAUUUGGGCCACACAGUGAGGAUUAAGAAGUUCCCAUUCCCAUCGUUUUCCCUUCACUGUCCCAAACGUUGGUCAGGAAGUCAGACUUGGUCUGGCCCUGACCUGCUGUGGUUUGAAGCAUCAUAAUUUAGUAUUCAUUAUGUGUCAGGGGAAACCUAGAAAAUCAUCCCCUCCCGCUUCUGCUUUCCACAGCUCUGUCAUCUCCCAACCUCAAACAGUGGAUUUCAGAAAAAUAGGCAAAGCCUGAGGUACCCCUCACACCAAGGGUAUUCUGAGGAAAUGGAGGCCCACCUCACUUCAAUGUGAUAAGCUACUUCAGGAUCCUGUGGAAAAGCUGCAUUAUAAUCGAUAGCCUCAUAAAUAAAUGAAGAGUCAACGCAGCCUGUCUCCUCCAGCUCAGGGCAUCUUCAGGAAAAUCGAACCUCGAGCCACUUCUGCUCACCCAUUCUGGAUUUCUACAGAGGCCUCCAUAGGGAAGGAAUCUUACAGGUCAUCCUGAGCAUCCCCCUGCCUCUGGGCUGGCCUGCCAUGUACCCCAUCCA